UUGAAAGUAAUCGAGUUCUACUGUUGCUGGCUUCUCUAGCAUGUGCACGUAGUUCUCUUUUCUAUUCAUCCACCUGUGCAUCUUUUGUAGUGGGCUUUUCUGGAUUGACCCUUAGUGGUUGGUUUGAAUUCCCACUAUGUCUUAUAAACACCGCUAUAGUAUGUUAAUAGAAUGUCUUGUUAUUAUUGGGACUUUGUUGGCCCUUUAAAACACUUUGUA
Molecule: unclassified non-coding RNA, 219 nt
Filed under: uncultured fungus
Lineage: Eukaryota; Fungi
Also listed under: 1 other name
Description: sequence contains ITS1, 5.8S rRNA gene
Source: RNAcentral